UCAUGGCGUUAGAAAAAUUUCCGAACUGCCAAUUUUUUUAGUAUCAAUUGAUUAGGAGGGAUUUUCGUUUCCAAUAAAUAAGAAUGUACAGCAUUUAAUUCAAACAGAGCCAACGUUCAUUCAAAGUUUUGCGAAAAGUGUGAGAAGUAAAAUUGAAGCCAGAGCAUUUUUAAAAUAUGAGAUUGCAGGUGCAGGAGUUAGAGCCACAAUAGUUUCGCCGGGCUCUCACUAAAUUAAAUCAGCUCCAUCACAAUCUUAAGAUGUCUCUGCUUCUCAUUCAACAACAUUAUCGGUUUCAAAACCAGUUGUUGCCAGUCAAUUUAUACCAAUCGCACAGAAGCAAUCUGUCCAAUACACGAAAGAUGGUUUAUCUCAGUCUAGCAAGUCACAGGCCAUCGACCAUGGCGUUCAAAGCUGGACAUUUGCAGAAACUUCAAAUUCUAGAUUAAAGAACUCAACUAGACUAUUUCCUGAGAUGUAAUCUUUCAUCUUUUCAAGAAAACAACUAACGCGAUUCUUAGUUCAAGUAAGCAACAUUGGAAUUUCCUAAUUUCUUAUGUUGUUUCAUUGUGAUGAAAUUGCGCUUUAAUUUAAGUUUUUACAAGUUCUCAAGCAA
Long non-coding RNA from Daphnia pulicaria, 616 nucleotides. RefSeq lists it as uncharacterized. The transcript is spliced from 4 exons. NCBI's taxonomy places the organism in Eukaryota, Metazoa, Arthropoda, Branchiopoda, Diplostraca, Daphniidae. The record is from RefSeq and is a predicted model, not a curated record.